AAUCAACGCUGGCGGCGUGCCUAACACAUGCAAGUCGAACGCGAAAGGGGGCUUCGGCUCCUAAGUAGAGUGGCGUCCGGGUGAGUAACACGUAGGUAAUCUGCCUUCGGGUGGGGAAUAACCAGUCGAAAGAUUGGCUAAUACCGCAUAAUGCAGCGGCACCUAAUGGUGAUUAGUUGUUAAAGCGGGGGAUCGUAAGACCUCGCGCCUGAAGAGGAGCCUGCGGCAGAUUAGCUAGUUGGUGAGGUAAUGGCUCACCAAGGCUUCGAUCUGUAGCUGGUCUGAGAGGACGGCCAGCCACACUGGCACUGACACACGGGCCAGACUCCUACGGGAGGCAGCAGUGGGAAUCUUGCGCAAUGGGCGAAAGCCUGACGCAGCGACGCCGCGUGAUGGAUGACGGCCUCGGUU
Molecule: ribosomal RNA, 411 nt
Filed under: uncultured bacterium
Lineage: Bacteria
Description: bacterial SSU rRNA
Rfam family: Bacterial small subunit ribosomal RNA
Source: RNAcentral